CAGGAGCAGGAGCAGGAGCAGGGACGGGUAGUGGAAGUAGCAGAAAAGAAGAGAAAGACGGGCAAAGUGAAAGAAAGCAAAGGCGGUGUUGGUCACCGGAGUUGCAUAGACGCUUCUUGCAAGCCCUUCAACAGCUUGGUGGUUCACAUGCUGCAACGCCAAAGCAGAUUAGGGAGAUAAUGAAGGUGGAUGGACUAACUAAUGAUGAAGUGAAGAGCCAUUUACAGAAAUACCGUUUGCAUACGAGAAGACCAAGCCCGGCAGUCCACAACAACAGCAAUCCACAAGCACCUCAGUUUGUAGUUGUUGGAGGCAUAUGGGUGCCACCACCUGAAUAUGCAGCAGUGGCUACAACAACAGCAUCAGGGGAAACAGCCACCUUAGCUGCAGCGGCCAACGGAAUCUAUGCUCCGGUGGCUGCACCACCACCCACUGCUCCUCAAAUUCUACAAAAGCAGAAACAUACACAAUCUGAGCAGAUGCAAUCAGAAGAAAGGGACAGCCAUAGUGAAGGCGGUGCUCGAUCUAAUUCCCCUGCUACAUCUUCCUCAACACAUACUACCACAAAUUCCCCUUUGUUUUGAUUGUCAUAACAGGAGAUCAGGCUGUAAAAUUUUGUAACCAAA
Molecule: unclassified non-coding RNA, 626 nt
Filed under: Hevea brasiliensis (rubber tree)
Lineage: Eukaryota; Viridiplantae; Streptophyta; Magnoliopsida; Malpighiales; Euphorbiaceae
Source: RNAcentral